RNAcentral lists this ribosomal RNA (333 nucleotides) under Weissella cibaria. Its description in RNAcentral is "partial 23S ribosomal RNA". It matches the Rfam family "Bacterial large subunit ribosomal RNA", at positions 2592 to 2925 of the family's 2925-position model. Lineage: Bacteria; Bacillati; Bacillota; Bacilli; Lactobacillales; Lactobacillaceae. The record is from RNAcentral.
AGCGGUACGCGAGCUGGGUUCAGAACGUCGUGAGACAGUUCGGUCCCUAUCCGUCGCGGGCGUAGGAAAUUUGAGAGGAGCUGCCCUUAGUACGAGAGGACCGGGGUGGACGUACCUCUGGUGUAUCAGUUGUUCCGCCAGGAGCAUCGCUGAGUAGCUAUGUACGGAUGAGAUAAACGCUGAAAGCAUCUAAGUGUGAAACUCGCCUCGAGAUGAGAUUUCCCAUUCUUUAUGAAGUAAGACCCCUCAGAGAUGAUGAGGUAGAUAGGCUAGAAGUGGAAGUGCGGCGACGCAUGGAGCGGACUAGUACUAAUGGUUCGAGGACUUAACCAA